UACGUAGGGUGCAAGCGUUGUCCGGAAUUAUUGGGCGUAAAGAGCUCGUAGGCGGUCUGUCGCGUCUGCUGUGAAAACUCGGGGCUUAACCCCGGGCCUGCAGUGGGUACGGGCAGACUAGAGUGCGGUAGGGGAGACUGGAAUUCCUGGUGUAGCGGUGAAAUGCGCAGAUAUCUGGAGGAACACCGGUGGCGAAGGCGGCAUCCUGGACCAACACUGACGCUGAGUGAGCGAAAGCCAGGGGAGCAAACGGG
Molecule: ribosomal RNA, 254 nt
Filed under: uncultured bacterium
Lineage: Bacteria
Description: partial 16S ribosomal RNA
Rfam family: Bacterial small subunit ribosomal RNA
Source: RNAcentral